GGCGAGAGGGAGGCAACAAGAAGCAGGUUUUUUUUGCACCCAGAUGGUGAUCAGAUACAUCGAGUUUAAGUGUGUUUCCUUGCGCUUUUUUUUGCACACAGAUGGUGAUCAGAUACAUCGAGUUCAAGUGUGUUUCCUUGAGCUUAUGGUUUUAUUUCUACGGAGAUGUGAUGCUUGCUUCUCUAGAACAUGUCUUUUUGUGUUGUACACAGUUUCAGACACAUUAACAUAUCCCUUACUUUUUUUUUUGGUCAACUAACAUAUCCAUGACUGAUGAAGAAAAAAAAAAAGU
This 292-nucleotide long non-coding RNA is filed under the name Brassica napus (rape). RNAcentral's name for it is "long non-coding RNA (BNAP_LNC009889)". The record is from RNAcentral. Lineage: Eukaryota; Viridiplantae; Streptophyta; Magnoliopsida; Brassicales; Brassicaceae.